RNAcentral lists this ribosomal RNA (911 nucleotides) under uncultured bacterium. Its description in RNAcentral is "bacterial SSU rRNA". It matches the Rfam family "Bacterial small subunit ribosomal RNA", at positions 33 to 926 of the family's 1533-position model. The record is from RNAcentral.
ACGCUGGCGGCGUGCCUAAUACAUGCAAGUAGAACGCUGAAGAGAGGAGCUUGCUCUUCUUGGAUGAGUUGCGAACGGGUGAGUAACGCGUAGGUAACCUGCCUUGUAGCGGGGGAUAACUAUUGGAAACGAUAGCUAAUACCGCAUAACAAUGGGUGACACAUGUCAUUUAUUUGAAAGGGGCAAUUGCUCCACUACAAGAUGGACCUGCGUUGUAUUAGCUAGUAGGUGAGGUAACGGCUCACCUAGGCGACGAUACAUAGCCGACCUGAGAGGGUGAUCGGCCACACUGGGGCUGAGACACGGCCCAGACUCCUACGGGAGGCAGCAGUAGGGAAUCUUCGGCAAUGGGGGCAACCCUGACCGAGCAACGCCGCGUGAGUGAAGAAGGUUUUCGGAUCGUAAAGCUCUGUUGUAAGUCAAGAACGAGUGUGAGAGUGGAAAGUUCACACUGUGACGGUAGCUUACCAGAAAGGGACGGUUAACUACGUGCCAGCAGCCGCGGUAAUACGUAGGUUCCGAGCGUUGUCCGGAUUUAUUGGGCGUAAAGCGAGCGCAGGCGGUUUGAUAAGUCUGAAGUUAAAGGCUGUGGCUCAACCAUAGUUCGCUUUGGAAACUGUCAAACUUGAGUGCAGAAGGGGAGAGUGGAAUUCCAUGUGUAGCGGUGAAAUGCGUAGAUAUAUGGAGGAACACCGGUGGCGAAAGCGGCUCUCUGGUCUGUAACUGACGCUGAGGCUCGAAAGCGUGGGGAGCGAACAGGAUUAGAUACCCUGGUAGUCCACGCCGUAAACGAUGAGUGCUAGGUGUUGGAUCCUUUCCGGGAUUCAGUGCCGCAGCUAACGCAUUAAGCACUCCGCCUGGGGAGUACGACCGCAAGGUUGAAACUCAAAGGAAUUGACGGGGGCCCGCAC